Phyllostomus discolor (pale spear-nosed bat) is the source of this 430-nucleotide long non-coding RNA. RefSeq lists it as uncharacterized. Lineage: Eukaryota; Metazoa; Chordata; Mammalia; Chiroptera; Phyllostomidae. The record is from RefSeq and is a predicted model, not a curated record. The transcript is spliced from 2 exons.
AUGUAACAAUGUAUUGUGGUAAUGUUGUAUAGCUUUUUUCUAUUUUGUUUUUAGUGUUAGGGUUGCUAAAAGCUUAUUUAAAAAAACCAACUGGUGUGGGGGCAUAAAUGGUGACAGAAGGAGACUUGACUUGGGGUGAAUUAUACCCCUGAAACCUAUAUAAUUUUAUUAACUAAUGUCACCCCAAUAAAUUCAAUAAGAAAGUAAAAAACUACCCAACUGAUAUAAUGUGCUUUCAGUCAAGAGGACACUGCCAUGAUCAUGAUCCUCCUCCUGUCACUGUGUGCACAUCCCCUGGCCUCUUUCUACACUUUGUUAAGAGGGAGGCCAAGGGAGUUCAAAUUUUAGGCAGUGAGUGGCGGGGGUGCCAUCCUACCAAGCUGGCCAACCCCCCAGCAAACCUUACCUGGAAUGCUUCUGCUAAAGGCAG